This 483-nucleotide ribosomal RNA is filed under the name uncultured bacterium. RNAcentral describes it as "bacterial SSU rRNA". It matches the Rfam family "Bacterial small subunit ribosomal RNA", at positions 29 to 507 of the family's 1533-position model. The record is from RNAcentral.
AUGAACGCUAGCGGCAGGCUUAACACAUGCAAGUCGAGGGGUAGAAGCAGCUUGCUGCUUUGAGACCGGCGCACGGGUGCGUAACGCGUAUGCAAUCUACCUUUUACAGAGGGAUAGCCCAGAGAAAUUUGGAUUAAUACCUCAUAGUAUGUGAGAAUCGCAUGGUUUUCACAUUAAAGUUCCACGGUAAAAGAUGAGCAUGCGUCCCAUUAGCUAGAUGGUAAGGUAACGGCUUACCAUGGCGACGAUGGGUAGGGGUCCUGAGAGGAUGAUCCGCCACACUGGAACUGAGACACGGUCCAGACUCCUACGGGAGGCAGCAGUGGGGAAUUUUGGACAAUGGGCGCAAGCCUGAUCCAGCCAUGCCGCGUGAGUGAAGAAGGCCUUCGGGUUGUAAAGCUCUUUCGGCCGGGAAGAAAUCGCAUGGGUUAAUACCCUGUGUGGAUGACGGUACCGGAAUAAGAAGCACCGGCUAACUACGUG